AUCCUCUAACACAAAUCAGGCAUGGGAAAAACACAGGAGAACAACAGAGAAAACAGUGGAAUGCAACACUUUGAUAAUGGCAUCUGGAUUCUUCAUUAAAAAAAACAGAGCUGGAGAUACAACGAAGUCAGCACAACCGCGUGUCUACCCUGAUUUCAGUUCCUGACUACUGAUGAACAGGUUUCUAGGGGACUCCUCAAAGCCAUAGCUUGCGGUUCAGCACAUAGAGUGAGGCAAGCCUCUCUGAAGUGAAGCUGGAAGCUGGAAAGAGACUACCCCAAAACCUACCUCCUGUCCAGCCAGAUCCCAACUUCCAGACACAGGAUUACAGGCUUGAAGGGGACCCAGAGACAUCAUCCAUCCCAACUCCACAAUCCUAUAACUGUACUAUUAAAGUGAUGGCACAGAAUACAAGAUAACAGUGAAAGACGAUAGCAACUACAAUAUAGUAACAUGCCCUAUGAGAAAGGUUAUGCCACCCCAUGGCCAUCCAGGAAGUUCAUGGGCCAAAUCAGGGAUUUGAAUCCAGAAUCUCUAAUCAUUGUGCCACGUCUGUGUGUUCUAAAUCAUACGUCAAUCAUCUUUUGUAGAGAGGGUUUGGAUAUUCCAUACAUGGCCUUUUUGUAAAAAGCAAGAACACCCCAAGCUCAUCCAGAGAUGUGGUGCUAGACAGGAAAAGAUCAGUGGUUCACUGCAAUGUAUGCAACCACCUGCCAUUCACCAGCGAAUGUCAGUCCCUCUGCAGAUGAGCCAUUAGCAAAUGUUAAAAACACAGGUAAAGAAUAAAAGUUUAAUGUCUGUGAAAUGAUCGGGAAGGCUGUACACGACCCAGCUUAUGGUAUAUAAUUCCAAGCGAUAAAAAGAUAAGCGCCACAGAGUAUUUAUGGUUACAUGUGUAUGUGUGUGUGGGAAGGUAAUACUUCUAAAAUCUGUCGUGUCUAAACUAAAUCAGAAAAACCAGGUUUGUAUUUGAGCACCACCAACAUGCAUAGCAGAAGUUGUACUGAAUAAAUGAGAACCACAGAUGCUAUCUAUUCAUAACAGUCCAGAGGAUCUUCCUGAUACUAAAUAAACCACAACUGUUGUUUAAUCAACCUGUGACUUUAAGAAGGGGAGGUUUAGAUCCAACAAAAGGUGCAUGCUUGUCUACUAUGAGAAUACCAAAUAUAGAGACUUAUGCAUGUGAAAGAACACAGACAUGAAGGUAUACAAGUAUGUGUGGAUGCACACACUUGUGUACAUGUGCACACGCACGCACACACGUCUUGGUGUAUUUGAGCAUGCUUCCGUGACUGUGAACAUUCAACCUGUUUAGUUAGUCCAUGUCAAUAUUCACGCUAAUUUUGAUACUGACCGAUCGCCGACAACAAUCCCAUCCAAGUGGCAGUUCUUAUGUACUUAAUGUACUUAUGUACAUAA
This is a long non-coding RNA of Rhineura floridana, 1419 nucleotides long. RefSeq lists it as uncharacterized. The transcript is spliced from 4 exons. NCBI's taxonomy places the organism in Eukaryota, Metazoa, Chordata, Lepidosauria, Squamata, Rhineuridae. The record is from RefSeq and is a predicted model, not a curated record.